Molecule: ribosomal RNA, 860 nt
Filed under: uncultured bacterium
Lineage: Bacteria
Description: bacterial SSU rRNA
Rfam family: Bacterial small subunit ribosomal RNA
Source: RNAcentral
CACAUGCAGUCGAGGGGCAGCGGGAUUGAAGCUUGCUUCAAUUGCCGGCGACCGGCGCACGGGUGAGUAACGCGUAUCCAACCUUCCGUACACUCAGGGAUAGCCUUUCGAAAGAAAGAUUAAUACCUGAUGGUAUCUUAAGCACACAUGUAAUUAAGAUUAAAGAUUCAUCGGUGUACGAUGGGGAUGCGUUCCAUUAGGUAGUAGGCGGGGUAACGGCCCACCUAGCCUACGAUGGAUAGGGGUUCUGAGAGGAAGGUCCCCCACAUUGGAACUGAGACACGGUCCAAACUCCUACGGGAGGCAGCAGUGAGGAAUAUUGGUCAAUGGACGAGAGUCUGAACCAGCCAAGUAGCGUGAAGGAUGAAGGUCCUACGGAUUGUAAACUUCUUUUAUAAGGGAAUAAACCCUCCCACGUGUGGGAGCUUGUAUGUACCUUAUGAAUAAGCAUCGGCUAACUCCGUGCCAGCAGCCGCGGUAAUACGGAGGAUGCGAGCGUUAUCCGGAUUUAUUGGGUUUAAAGGGAGCGCAGACGGGUCGUUAAGUCAGCUGUGAAAGUUUGGGGCUCAACCUUAAAAUUGCAGUUGAUACUGGCGUCCUUGAGUGCGGUUGAGGUGUGCGGAAUUCGUGGUGUAGCGGUGAAAUGCUUAGAUAUCACGAAGAACUCCGAUUGCGAAGGCAGCACACUAAGCCGUAACUGACGUUCAUGCUCGAAAGUGUGGGUAUCAAACAGGAUUAGAUACCCUGGUAGUCCACACGGUAAACGAUGGAUACUCGCUGUUGGCGAUAUACUGUCAGCGGCUUAGCGAAAGCGUUAAGUAUCCCACCUGGGGAGUACGCCGGCAACGGUGAAACUCAAA